AUUGAUACUUAUAAGAACAAUGCAUUCGACAAGAAAAUCCAUCAACAAUAAUUUUUUCACACCCCAUUAAAAGUUCAACUUGAGUUCAAUCGUUUCACAUAUGCUCACUAUAUUUCUUCAAUUAAAGCAACAAAAAUAGAACCAAUAUCCCCAAAUUUGAAACUAUACAUGCGAAGAUACAUCCUUAAAUUUACAACUAUAAGCCCAUGAAUUGCAUGCAUGAACAUAACGUCUCCACAUAACAACAGACAUGUACGGGUAAAAUAAUUCAUAAAAUAGCUGAAUAAGAAGCAUACCUCCUGCAGCAACGACCCGUCCAUGGCAUUAAAGACCCUAAUCAAAGUGCCCUUACUACUCGCAGUAGCCAAUAAUCUGCCAUCUUGAGUCAUAGUCAUACCCGCGAUCCUCGAAUCAUGUGCCAUAACGAACUUGGUUCUCUUCGACCCACAAUUCUCCACUCUAAUUUGCCCCUUUUGGAGGCCAGGGCAAACCAGCACCAUUGGCGAUGAAGUAUGGGAUAUUUCACACAACCCUUUUGGAUUCAAAACCGUCUCCAUUUGGUGCAGCAGCUCCAAGUCCGCAAAAUUGUACACAAAAAUUUUCUGAAGCAAUACAACAAUUAUCCUGUCCCGCCUCAGUUUCACGUUUUUUACCUCCGAUCGGAACGACAGCUCGCCGAUGCAUCGCGACUGAAAGUCGUCCCAAAUGAUUACCUUGGUCAUUGCAUAGAUGGGACCAGUACCACCACCGACCAAGCAUAGGAUAUUGCAGCGGAAUAGCAUGGCCACAAGGAAGAUUCCGUCCUGCGAGUCAAGGUCACGGCGGAAGAGGGGCUUGAAGGGAUCGGUAUUGUAUAUACGGAAACCAUUAUCGAGGCCAGCAGCGAAGCAACCAUAAUCUUGGUUGAAGGAGAGAUGGUAGAUGGCUGGUGAUUGUUUGGGUUCUUGUGUGGGAUUAUGAGGGAGAAAUAGAGGGGCAAUAGAUGAGGAGGAGGAGGAGGAGGAGAAGAGGACAAUGUAGGGCCUGACGCACUUGAAGGAGGCAACAAUAGUAAGAGAUGAAUGUAGAAGGGUUUGUGAUUGGGAGCUCAACAACCAUAAAUUCUGGGAAGUAGCAGUGAGUGUGAGGACAAUGAAUGACUAGAGAGAGAAACAAAUUAGCUUUGAAAAUUGAGACAAUAGUGCUCUUUCCAGCCUUUGCUUGGCCCUCUCUGUCUCUUCACUGUACCGGAGAUUAUCAAAAAUUAAUUCGUUCUUUCCCCCUCGGUUCCUCCCCUGUAC
RNAcentral lists this unclassified non-coding RNA (1280 nucleotides) under Hevea brasiliensis (rubber tree). The record is from RNAcentral. Lineage: Eukaryota; Viridiplantae; Streptophyta; Magnoliopsida; Malpighiales; Euphorbiaceae.